GGGGUUGUGGCUCAGCGGUAGAGUGCUCGCCUUGCAUGUGCGAGACCCUGGGUUCAAUCCUCAGUACCACA
RNAcentral lists this transfer RNA (71 nucleotides) under Marmota monax (woodchuck). RNAcentral describes it as "tRNA.Ala". It matches the Rfam family "tRNA". Rfam says of the family: Transfer RNA (tRNA) molecules are approximately 80 nucleotides in length. Their secondary structure includes four short double-helical elements and three loops (D, anti-codon, and T loops). The record is from RNAcentral. Lineage: Eukaryota; Metazoa; Chordata; Mammalia; Rodentia; Sciuridae.